Long non-coding RNA from Arvicola amphibius (Eurasian water vole), 2280 nucleotides. RefSeq lists it as uncharacterized. The transcript is spliced from 3 exons. The record is from RefSeq and is a predicted model, not a curated record. NCBI's taxonomy places the organism in Eukaryota, Metazoa, Chordata, Mammalia, Rodentia, Cricetidae.
GGGCCUCACUCAGUGCACUGCAGCACCAUUCCAGUGAUGCCUUGCGGGUGGAGAGUUGCAGGAUUGGUAAACUGAGGAAAGGAGCUCAGUCACAACCAGAGACCACCGAGGUUCGUUUCUAUUCUGUGGCCUCAGGUCUUUGGAAGAAGGAGGAAGGAAACACCAUCCAGGGACAUGGGAAAGCGACUCUAACGGUGCCUCCGGUUCUCUGUCCUCUUGGUUUCUCGGUCCUGCGCUUUAGGGACUGUGCAGCCUUUUACUUCUCUGCAGGAAGUAAAGGGAAAUAACGUUGAUUAGUCUCCACACUGGGGCUUUCCCGUGCCUUUCUCCCAGUAUUCCCCAGGAAAUUGAAAAAGCUGGGAGGGAAGAUCAAGAGGUUGCCAACAAGCAUGUCAGUUUCCAAAGCCUUGUCUGUUUUUCGUGUGGCAGGGCACCUGGUUAUCCACCACACCUUGCAUUUGAAGUCUCUGUCUCUCUCUAAGCAGUAAUAACGGCCAGCAUUUAUGUACCACUCUUCUGAGUGAUUUGCUUUUGUCAUUCCUUCUUCCCAACGUACUUUAGAGUGAUAUCAUCCUUGUGUUGUGGCAGCUGAGACAGUGGAGGUGACUCACUGUGGUUGUGCAGCUAAGAACACGAGAGGUGGUGGAAGAAAAUAGGUCUAUUGAAUAUACUUGUACCGGACAAUAACAAGAGUACCACAGCUGACAGCGUGAAGUUUGUCUUUGAGCCAGGUGGUGGUGGUUCUCACCUUUAAUCCCAGCACUCAGGAGGCAGAGACAGGUGGAUCUCUAAUGUGCUCCAGGCCAGAGAUUAUGACCUGUGAAUCACCUGUUAUAACACUAAAAGCCACAACCACAAAAUGGAGAAACUAGGCCUUGGCUUGGAUGAUGAGGGCAACAACCAGCACGCAGCAGCCCCACAGAGCCCAGUUGACUCUCACUCCUGAGCAUCCACGCUGCAAACAGGUUCUCAUAAAGGCCUGCCUCAACACCAAGUGUUCGUGCCCGAAGAUGAAGACGAUGCAGGACACCAAAGGCUGCAAACAGGAACCCAAUAGUGGACACCUCAUCUGCAGGCAGCAUUUUGCCCUCUGCUGGUACCAUGCCAAGCACUGCCAGGGGAAGGAUUGCCUGGUGCUAUCAUCUUCAAUCAAAAACUUCAAUAGCCACAGGUGCAGCAGCGGCUCCUAGCAUUUCAUUGCGGUGUAUGAAGAUGGCCAGCAUGGAAGGGACUGAUGUGGCAAACAGCAGCAGGACCUGCCGCCCCCAACUCCUGCUAUUCCAACCACCCCCACUGAUCAACAGCCAGCCACCUCACAGACACCUCAGGACUCACACUACUGGCCUUGUGUCCUAGGGUAAUGUAGCAGGCCAUGUGAUCCAUCAACUCUACCUCAGAGUGCUCAGCCCUCACUGGCAGGGCCUCCCCAUGGAGCAUCAAAAUGUAAAAAAAAAAAAAAAAAAAAAAUGAAGAAAAUAGAGGAGCAUCUUUUUUUCUUCUUCUUAUUUUCUUUUUUAGGGCUUAUUAUGUUUAAUUUGCUCAGGUCGGAACCAGAGGAAUUGUGUCAGAGAUGGUUCCUCUCCAUGGCCAUCAUGCACACAAGCUGGGGAUCACUUUGGCCUCCGUUGGUGUUUUCUGUAAGGUUCUUCUGGCCAAGAGCAGCAGGCUUGAUGAGAUACUGAGGACCUGCCGUGUUUCAGAGCAGAUCCAGCAGAGACUGAUACAUUAAAGCAUCCAGAGGAGGUCUCAACUGUGGUUGCUUUGCACCCCUGGGUCUUCUGGAUCCAGAGUGGCUUGUGCCUCUUUGUCAGCCUUGAGUUCUACCUGAGUUUGAACAACUAAUUGUUCCACGCGGCAGGUGUUCCUGGCCACUGUGUCUUCUGGUCCUGAGAGCUUUGCUGCUGCAGGCAAGGACAGGAGGACUCUCCCUGGCAGUGAAGCCUUUUCCUAGAGCAGGGCUGUGAGCUGCUACGUUUCCUGUGACCUGUGCUAUUCCGUGGCUCCCAACUGUUGGAAUACUCUUCUCCCAAGCUGUGAGGCUGGGUAUAUCCUGGCCCCCCUACUGCCAGGAUACUUCUCCAUCCAUUCCUUGGCUUGCAACUGCCAGGAUCCCUUUCUGUCUGAGCUGUGAUACUUUCUUGCACCUGGUUGUGGUUGAGGGAGUUGAAUUUGGCAUCAUGGAGACAUAGCAGGAAACAGGUAAGAGGGAAAGGACUCAGCCCUGCCGGGAAAGGGGACCCUGAAGGCCUCACUUGGAGGUGUGCCACAGCACCGUUUUAG